RNAcentral lists this ribosomal RNA (274 nucleotides) under uncultured bacterium. RNAcentral describes it as "partial 16S ribosomal RNA". It matches the Rfam family "Bacterial small subunit ribosomal RNA", at positions 523 to 796 of the family's 1533-position model. The record is from RNAcentral.
AUACAGAGGGUGCGAGCGUUAAUCGGAAUUACUGGGCGUAAAGCGCGCGUCGGCGGCUUAUUAAGUCAGAUGUGAAAUCCCCGGGCUCAACCCGGGAACUGCAUCUGAUACUGGUAAGCUAGAGUUUUGGAGAGGGAAGUAGAAUUUCAGGUGUAGCGGUGAAAUGCAUAGAGAUCUGAAGGAAUACCAGUGGCGAAGGCGACUUCCUGGCCAAAAACUGACGCUGAGGUGCGAAAGCGUGGGUAGCAAACGGGAUUAGAAACCCUAGUAGUCC